GUUAAAUAAAAAAAGGAACGAAAUCUAUCCAAAAAAUGUUACAAAGAAAGUGGAACAUGUUUACUACAGCAUAAAGCCAAAAGUAUCAUGUGUUCGACUAUGACAUUGAUGGAUUCCCCUUGUUGCUGAAAAUUCUUGCAUUUUUCUCAUUCCCAACAAUCCAUACGAAAGCUCUAUUGAUCUAUAGAAAAGUAAUCUUCUUCUCAACCCUGAAAGGAUGCUCAAUUAGAAUUAGAGACAACCAAUCUUGCACCUUAAUAGGGUCAGUCCAUGUCCAAAUGGAGCGAGUGAGUAAAUGGGACCAAAUCUUUGAAGCAAUAAGGCAUUGAGUGAAGUUAUUAUGUUUCUGGGACUCACUAUUUGAUUUACACAAACUGCAGCAUUUUGUUGAUAGAGCCCAUCAGAAACUUCUUUGUAAGCGGUCUAGGGUAUUUAGGCAAGUGUGGUUGAGUUCCCAAAGGUGGAACUUGAUCUUUUUUGGAUAGAAAUCCUUCUGAAUGGCUUUUCAUAAGUUGGGACAUUUUCGAGAAUUUUCUGCCCAUUGAUUUGGUAGUGCAAUAGCUUCUUUGCCUUGAAUAAAAACAGGUGACACUUCCUUAUGAAUAUAUUGAUAAGACGAGAAAGAGGUCAACAAAGAUUCCCAUUGAGGUAUUUUCUCAUUCUCUAGAUUUCUGCAAAAAUUCAUAAUCCAUGAGGCGUUUUUGUGGUACCAAAAUGUCUGCCACAGAGGGAUCCUUUGUUUUUGUCAAUGCGAAUAAAACAGGAAAAGAUGCACUUAGAGGAUUUUGUCCCAACCAUAAAUCAUGCCAAAAAAUAGUUGAAUGGCCAUUUCCAACUUUGGAUCAAAUAUUUGAAUCAAUAACGUCCUCUGGUUGAAGAAUGUGCUUCCAACGGCUGUAGGAAGAAGUUUCUGACUUCAAUUCUGACUAGUUAAUCAAAAUGAGAAGACCCAAAAUUUGCUACAAUCAACUUCCUCCAUAUUUUCAAUGUGGAAUCUCCAAUACCACUUGGCUAAUAAAGCUUUAUUUCUCUUCAUUAGAUCAAGGAUACCAAGCUCUCCAUUCAACCGAAGUCAUUUUACCUUUUCCCUCUUUAGAACAUGAGAUACUUUUUGUUUUCUUGUUACCAGAUUAUGGAAAAUUUCGGAAGAUCUCUUCUAUAGCUAGGACAUCCUUUCUAGGCAAAGAGAAAAGUGACAGAAAUACAGAUCGGCCAAAGUUGCAUUAAUGAGAGAAAGUCUAUCCCUCUUUGAGAUAAAAAUGUGGCUGCAACUAAGAAGUCUUCUUUCUACUUUAUCAAUGAUAGGCUGCCAAAAAGGGAUGUUGCUUUUGGAUUACCAUGAAGGGGAAAACCCAAGAAAGUGUCAUAAUAAAUAACGGUUUGUCAAGUGCUAAAUUAAAGAAGCAUUAUUUUAUACCCAAUAAGUUCAAGACUAAAGACCAAAUAAGUUCAGACUUUUGUCCGUUGAAAAGGUUUGUUUUUUUCUUUUUCCUUGUGAGUGGAAGAAAGAAUGGUUUAUUCCAAAAAUUGUAGAUGAUGAAUUUGAAGUAAUCAAUUUUUCUCCGAGAGGAAUGGGACAACAACCUCUCUAAGGCAAUCAACUACUAAAAUAAAAAGAUGAGCUGAAAGGGGUCACCUUGCCUUAGGCUAGAAUGCCCAAAUUUUGCCCCUCAGUUUUCCACCGAUAAUGAUUGAAAAUUUUUCUGAUGAAAUGCACUCUCUAUCCAGCUUCUCCAUUUGUCUCCAAACCCCUUAACUCUCAAGAUUUCAUCUAGAAAUCCCGAUUUACCUUAUUGAUGACCUUUUCAACCGCUUCUAUACCAUUCCUCAAUGAGCUCGUUUGCAGUAAGAGAGGCGUCCAGAAUUUGACACCCUGCUACAAAAGCUAAUUGAUUCUCUAUGAUAGUGCUUGGAAUCACACAUUUCAGCCUCUCCAAUAGAAUCCUGGCUAUGAUUUUAUAUAAACAAGUGAUUCAAACUCAUCAGUGACAUUGGAAAUGGAGAAAGAUAGGUCUAUCAAUGUUACUACUCUUGGUUUCUUGAAGGAUGAUCAAGAAGGAUUGUAUUUGAUAAUGACGCCUUUGACAAGAGCAUGUUUUUCUUCAAUAUUGAGAGAAUAGCUAAUAUCUUUCCUAUACUAAAUUCACAAAUACGUAGCUCCACAUGAGAGCCCUAAACUAAAAGAAUGUAAAAUUACAAUAAAGGGAAAAAUGUAAUAAUAGGUCUCUAAAUCUGAAGUUAUAUACAUGAAUGUCAUGAUAAUAUAUACUAUAACUCACACACUUCCGCCAAUAACCCAAUCCCUUGAAAUGCCAGGAUAGAAUAAUCAUAAAAUAGAUGUCGACUCUUCCCUGUGUUGAGACAAGUCAAAUACCCCACUUUAGCACAAGACCUACUUCGUAAGCUUUUAAUACACAAAAAGCUUAUGCAACACGGAGCCAUAGGUAUUUAGCUGCACAGGUUCUCAAUACUUCGACAUUGUUUUUACUUGGAGGGAAAACAAAGUACUGUUGAAUGUGUCCAACAAAGAACUGGGAUUGGCUGCAACAGAGCUUGUUGUCUGAUAAAGGAUGUUCUCCUAAAGCCUCAUGUUCGUGAUAAAGGAAGAAUUGUUUGGCAUGCAUUUUUUUUCAUUAUUUUGUGGGCAAUUUUAUCUGGAAGGAACAAAAUGAUCUUUAGAGCUUGAUCUCAUUCUUUUGGAUUGGGGAUUAUUCUUGUAGUUAGUGUUAGGAUUCCUUUUUCUGGUUUUUUUAUGCUCUUGUACUCUUUCAUUUUUCUCAAAAGAUAACUUUGUUUCGUAUUAAAAAAAAAAAAAAAGCACUGAUCUUAUCUUCCGGGCUUUACAUGAUUAUUUUCUAAACUGGGGCCGCUUUUGCGACAGAAUAGACUACAACAAUAUAUGUUUUAACUUUAAAUUGUUCCCUUUUUAGGUGGGAAAAUAACUGAGAAAUGAGAAUAGUCCUUCCUUAACUUGA
Non-coding RNA from Cucurbita pepo subsp. pepo (vegetable marrow), 2975 nucleotides. The record is from RefSeq and is a predicted model, not a curated record. NCBI's taxonomy places the organism in Eukaryota, Viridiplantae, Streptophyta, Magnoliopsida, Cucurbitales, Cucurbitaceae.